CGGCUCUGGGUGGCCAGAGGCGCAGCCUGCCCAGCCCCCACCGGCCCUGGUGCUAGCUUGGUUUGAAAACGCUGACUGUUGGUCCCGCAAGCCGCCGUCUGGAGUCAGCCCAGCUCUCCAGCUGCGGCGGAGUCAAGGCUAUGUUUUCCCGGGUCAGAAAGACAGAAACCAGGCAUCGCCCCUCCGGGACCAUCCCUUCCGCGAAGUCCUCCGAGAGCCCAGGAGGGAUGGGCCUCGGGAGGGAGUGGUGCCUGGGAAACCAGCUGUGAGAAACAGUCAUCACCCAGCAUCCCAACUGAAAGCGUGGAGUCCAACCCCUUUGCUUCACAAGAAGGAGAAACUGAGGCAGAGUGACUGGGCCUCGGGUGGGGUGGAAAGAACCCUAGUUUCUCGUGCAGACCUCAAGCAGGGUUCCCUCCCGCGCACGGGUGCGAAGCUUACAGACAGGGAUACCUACUGUCUCCAGGAAGCAUUUGAGUUUCUACCCCACUGCUAUAGGGUCUCAUGUAGCCCAGGCUAACUUCAGACUCAUUGUCGCUGAGAAUUUCCUUAAACUCUGGAUCCUUCUGUUUUGUCUUCACAUCCCAACUGCUGGGAUUACAGGGUCUCACUAUGUACACCUGGCUGGCCUGGAAUUUGUGGGAUAGAACAAGAUGGCCUCCAAUUUGUGGUAAUCCUCCUGUCUCAACCUCCUGAAUCCUGGGAUACAGCAUGAGCUUCCCUGGAACUUGUGGAAGAAUCGUUUUCCUUGGUUUCAGUUAUGGAAUUAACAUCGGCUCUGGGAUAACUGCUUUAUCGACCAUCGUCCUAGCAACUAGCUACAUCGUUAAAGUCUUACUUAUUCAACUAUAGUUUAUGCAUAGUAAAUCUCCAUUUCCUAGUCUAAAAUCCUGUAUGUUUUGACAAACUUGUAUGAUUGAAUAACCACGAUCACACUCAAGAUCGUCCCCCGCCCCAACCUCCCUCCUGUUGAGUUGCACCAACCACUACCCUCACCCCCUAGCAUUUCCUUGUGGGUGUUGCCGUUCGGUGAGUGUCAUGUAAGUGGAGCCAUACCUUGUGUGAACAGCUGAGUCUGUCUCAUUUCACUUUGCAGAGUGCUGCAUUCAAGAUGCAUCCGUGACAUUGCCCAUACCAAUAGCUCCUUCCCCCCAACUGCUCACUGGUAUUUCAUUGAAUAGAUGUACCAGAGUUUGUCCAUGCACCAAUUGAAUGCCAUUUGGAUGUUUCCUGGUGUUGAUGAUUAGAAAUAAAGCCACUGUAAAUACUCAAGUGUUAAAAGAACACGUUUUUACU
Nannospalax galili (Upper Galilee mountains blind mole rat) is the source of this 1296-nucleotide long non-coding RNA. RefSeq lists it as uncharacterized. The transcript has 5 exons. NCBI's taxonomy places the organism in Eukaryota, Metazoa, Chordata, Mammalia, Rodentia, Spalacidae. The record is from RefSeq and is a predicted model, not a curated record.